Molecule: ribosomal RNA, 517 nt
Filed under: uncultured Glomus
Lineage: Eukaryota; Fungi; Glomeromycota; Glomeromycetes; Glomerales; Glomeraceae
Description: SSU rRNA
Rfam family: Eukaryotic small subunit ribosomal RNA
Source: RNAcentral
AGCAGCCGCGGUAAUUCCAGCUCCAAUAGCGUAUAUUAAAGUUGUUGCAGUUAAAAAGCUCGUAGUUGAAUUUCGGGAUCAGUACGCCGGUCGUGCCUCCGGUAUGUACUGGUGUCACUGAUUCCUCCCUUCUGAAGAACCAUCAUGCCAUUAAUUUGGUGUGGUGGGGAAUCAGGACUGUUACUUUGAAAAAAUUGAGUGUUUAAAGCAGGCUCGCGCUUGAAUACAUUAGCAUGGAAUAAUGAAAUAGGACGUUUAUCCUAUUUUGUUGGUUUCUAGGAUUGACGUAAUGAUUAAUAGGGAUAGUUGGGGGCAUUAGUAUUCAAUUGUCAGAGGUGAAAUUCUUGGAUUUAUUGAAGACUAACUACUGCGAAAGCAUUUGCCAAGGAUGUUUUCAUUAAUCAAGAACGAAAGUUAGGGAUCGAAGACGACCAGAUACCGUCGUAGUCUUAACCAUAAACUAUGCCGACUAGGGAUCGGAUGAUGUUAAUUUUUAUGACUCAUUCGGCGCCUUAAC